UCUACGAUCUACCAUGUUAUACUAUUUGUUGUGUGCAUUUUCAUCAUGGAAUGCUUGAAAUCUUAAACCUUUUAAAAUCUUUUACUUGUACAGAGGCAGAAAAAGACGAUAUGUUAAGUUGUACAAGUUGAAACCGGAAUGUCUACGAAAAGAGCAGCCUCUGGAUAAUGAAAUUGUCUUGGAGUUGGACCAAAUAGAGAAAGUAUCUGAUAUAGAAGAUAUCUUGGGUUACAGGUUUGCUGCUGAACAUGAGCUUCAGCAUGUUGCUGCUGAAGGCACAACCUUGGUCAAACAGGCAGAAGAUGCUGCAAGUAAUAAGAAGACAGAAAAGAGAUUGCAGGUUGAUCCUACUAUAUGGCCAAUAAUGAUCUUUAGGGUCUGGUAGAAGGAUUGGAGAUUGUAGUUAAGCUUCUAUCUAAGACUUCACACCAAGGACUUGAUGAAUUUAAGAUAUCAUAUUUUUGGCAUGGCUAGAAGCUUUGUAGGAAACGAGACUCAAGCAAAAGUAAACACAGAGAGUUGUUGGCACAUAGUAAGCUAGAUAAUGCAAUUGUAUAUAAAUAAGUUUAUUUUUUUAUAACAUUUACUCACUAUUGGAAUAAUUAUUU
Lactuca sativa (garden lettuce) is the source of this 608-nucleotide non-coding RNA. NCBI's taxonomy places the organism in Eukaryota, Viridiplantae, Streptophyta, Magnoliopsida, Asterales, Asteraceae. The record is from RefSeq and is a predicted model, not a curated record.